CCUACGGGAGGCAGCAGUAGGAAUCUUCGGCAACGGACGAAAGUCUGACCGAGCAACGCCGCGUGAGUGAAGAAGGUUUUCGGAUCGUAACACUCUGUUGGUCGAGAAGAACGUUGGUGAUAGUGGAACGCUCAUCCAGUGACGGUAACUACCCAGACAGGGCCGGCUAACUACGUGCCAGCAGCCGCGGUAAUACGUAGGUCCCGAGCGUUGUCCGGAUUUAUUGGGCGUAAAGCGAGCGCAGGUGGUUUAUUAAGUCUGGUGUAAAAGGCAGUGGCUCAACCAUUGUAUGCAUUGGAAACUGGUAGACUGGAGUGCAGGAGAGGAGAGUGGAAUUCCAUGUGUAGCGGUGAAAUGCGUAGAUAUAUGGAGGAACACCGGUGGCGAAAGCGGCUCGCUGGACUGUAACUGACACUGAGGCUCGAAAGCGUGGGGAGCAAACAGGAUUAGAUACCCUUGUAGUC
Molecule: ribosomal RNA, 464 nt
Filed under: uncultured bacterium
Lineage: Bacteria
Description: partial 16S ribosomal RNA
Rfam family: Bacterial small subunit ribosomal RNA
Source: RNAcentral